RNAcentral lists this unclassified non-coding RNA (4159 nucleotides) under Hevea brasiliensis (rubber tree). Lineage: Eukaryota; Viridiplantae; Streptophyta; Magnoliopsida; Malpighiales; Euphorbiaceae. The record is from RNAcentral.
UUUCAAUUAAUAGUGUAACAUACAUGGUUCAUAUUGCCAGAGCAUCAAUGGCUUCUAGUUGGGCUUUUGUCUGAGGCUUCCAUAAUCAUACCUCAGUCAUGGCAUACGCUUCUUCAUCAACAUGGAAAAUUCCUGCUACAACAACUAAAAGGGUCUCUGAUUCUACCGUUUCAGGCUAUUUUCUCUUCUUCUCCACCAUUCAUAGCCCUCAACAAUAUAAAAGAUCUCGUUUAACUACUUUCUCAGCUGACCCCUCUUCUUCUUCUUCUUCAAGCUCCUCUUGUUCUACUUCUAUCAAAAAGUUGCCUAACAGCAAGAAACCAUUAAAAUUUGCAGAAACCUCUGAUGGGUCUUUGUCAAUGUUGUAUUCUGAUGAGUCCACCGCUGCACUUGAUGAGGAGGAGGAAAUCGUUUCGGAGAAUGUUAAGAAGAAGAAGCAGCCUUUCUUGAGGGAGAUUUUGUUUGCCUCUGACAAGAUCAGGAGUAUUCUCUUGCUUAAUUUUAUCACCAUUGUCUAUGCUAGUAACAUUCCAGUAGUGAAAGCUGUUGAAGCUAUGAUGGAUCCUGCAGCCUUCUCAGCUAUGCGGUUUGUGAUGUCUGCAAUCCCAUUUUUACCAUUUGUGUUUCAAGCAAGAGAUGAUGUUAAGAUCCGCAAUGCAGGGAUGGAGUUGGGAUUAUGGGUCAGUUUAGGGUACCUUAUUGAGGCACUUGGACUACUUACAUCUGAUGCUGGCCGUGCAUCAUUCAUUUCUAUGUUUACAGUUGUUGUAGUACCACUGCUUGAUGGAAUGUUAGGAGCAAUAAUACCUGCUCGUACUUGGUUUGGAGUUCUCAUGUCUGCCAUUGGAGUUGCUAUGCUGGAAUGCAGUGGAUCUCCUCCAAAUGUUGGUGACCUUUUGAACUUUUUGAGUGCAAUUUUUUUUGGAAUUCAUAUGCUUAGAACUGAACAUUUUUCAAGAAUUACCAAGAAAGAGAACUUCUUGCCUCUUCUUGGAUAUGAGGUAUGUGUUGUCGCUCUGUUAUCCACAAUUUGGGUUAUGGUUGGGGGAUGGUUCCAAGAGCAGGACCUAUCACCAUGGACAUGGGCAGUGAUGUGGAACUGGAUUGUUGCAUUUCCAUGGAUCCCUGCUCUUUAUACUGGAGCAUUCUCAACUGGAUUAUGCUUAUGGGUAGAGAUUGCAGCAAUGCGUGAUGUUUCAGCAACAGAAACAGCGAUAAUUUAUGGGUUAGAGCCAUUGUGGGGUGCUGGUUUCGCUUGGUUUCUUCUUGGUGAAAGGUGGGGAACGGCUGGAUGGUUUGGGGCAGCUCUCGUCCUUGGUGGAAGCUUGAUAGUGCAGAUAUUUGGAACCUUAACGCCCAAUUACGAAUCAAUAAAGGUUGGAAAGAAUAAAGAGAAAGAUGAUCUCCUCCUGGUUCCAGAUAAGCAAAAACUGCAUAAUAGCCUCUCAGCUUCACCAGUGGUUGUCAGGUCAAGGAAGGAUAUAAUUGAUAUGUUGAAAUGAUCCCAUCUACUAGCAUUUCCUUAAAUUUGUAUGUAUUUUCAUAAAAAUAAAAAAAUAAAAAAAUUGCAUAUGUAUAUAGUGAUGGCUUAACAUGUAUGUUUCCCUUGCAAAGUUCUGAAGGUGUUUUGCUAUUCCCUCCUAUAAUUCAAGAUCUCAACUAUUUUGGAUUCAUGUUCAAUAUCUUUGGAAACUAUAUACCUUUUUUGGAAUGAACAUUGAUUUCCUUGAAUAUGGUUGGAAGAGAUCCAGGUAUCCUUUCAACCAUAAAUACAACAAGACAUCCAUAAUUGUUAGGUUAACACAAGUCCAUCCAAACAACCUUAGGCAAGUCAACUCUGGCACAGAUAUUAGGUCCAAAUGAAAUGUAGUUUUAUUAAGACAUGAAAAUGUUGCAGCAAUAGUUAUAGCCAGUGAUAGCUGCAUAUAUGUUGAACUUAAGAGACUCAGGUACGACUACCCCCUCCCCCAACAUAUGUAAAAAAAGACAUAAAAAUGCUAGAAUAAUUUAAGUUCAAGCAUAGGCUUGAGUCAUACAAUCAUCAAAGGUUGAUGGUUCAUUGCUCAGAAAUUUAUUCAAUGCUUUAGAAGUAGUGCAUGUGAUACUCAUUUUUUCUUUGCAAUAAACAGGCCCCAUCGCUGCUCACCGGAUGAGCUCCUAAUCAACUUUGCCUUCCAUCCACCAACUAUAUCAUUAUAGUCCUCUUCAGAAAAGUCUUGGAUGAAUUCAUCCUUCUCCUUCUCGACAGCAUUUAAUUCCCGUUGCAGAACUUGAUUAAACUGAUCAGUUCUGUCCUCUGCAAUGACAUCAUCAAAACCAGCAUCCCUAAGCAUCUGCCCAUAUGCUUUUACAUCAUGAAGAUCAUAUCCUCUCUGCUUAAUAUACUCUGAAAAUUCUGGCGAUGGAGUUCCAGCAUUCUUGCAAUAAUCACUUAUAAGAACUUUACCUCCAGGCUUCAACCACUUGAAGAAUGAUCUAAACAAUGCAGGUUUGUCUUGAAUGUGCAGAAUGGUGUCACGGCUGUAGAUAACAUCAAAUGUGUUAUCAGGAUAUGUCUUCUUUGUGCAAUCAGCAACUUCAAACUCAACAUUGCAUUUGAGUCCAAUGGCAGAUUCAAGAGCAAUAGAUAUCAUAUUAAUUGAGAGGUCAAUGCCAACAACUUCCACAUCAAAGUUCUCAGCCAUGUAAAAGUCACCUCCUCCAAUACCACAUCCAACAUCUAGGACUUUCUGGCCAGGCUUAAGAUCCAGCUUUGCCACAAAUUCUUUAGUUGUUUCAAUUCCUCCUGUGCUUACAAAACCUUUUCCAAAGACACGCUCAUAGCGUAGGAUGCCAUUACAUUUAUAUUGAACAUUAUCCAAGAACUGCUGGAACCCCUUAUCAUCUUGUGAACUUACUUUCUGCCAUAUCCAACAUAUCUGAUUUUGAUUCUUCUUAUUCCUCACAUAAGCUCCAAUGCAUUUGCAGCCAAUAAGAGUGAGUUCAUAAGAAUUUCCAGAACCAUCAUGGGUAUGGCACUCUUUAAAGACCUUAGUGUAAAAUCUGGGCUCCCGGUAAUGAGUUGGGUUGUAUUUUCGCUUACUAUCUCCAGAUUGAUGGAAACAAGACUCUCUGAAAAAAAUAUACCCGCCAACCUUUAACCAUUUGACCAUCCUUUCCGCCAGAUUCUCUACCUCUUUAUCUGAGAGAUACAUAAGAAGCCAAUUUGAGAAUAUUAAAUCCACUGAUCCUUCUGAAAAUUUCAAGUCAGGGGAUGUCACAUCAGCACACAUAAACUUGACAUUCUUGUGGUGUCCAUUAAUGCUUUCAUUCUUCUUUAUCACGCUCUCAAUGAAGUCCACGGCAACAAGCUGCCCAGCUUUCUGCGCUAAUUCCCCAGUGAAACGACCAAUACCAGCUCCAAACUCCAAAACUGAUUUUCCUUCGUAUGAUGGGAGCAGAGAAAGCACCUCGGGACGUUCUUCUUUGUCAAGAUCAGAGGCCUUGGAGUCAAGCAUCAUUGCCUCCACCGUCAAAUUGGCAGAGUGCUCGAUCCAAUAGUUCUUCUGAACCUCACGCUCUUCAACUAUUAAACCGACAAACAAAAGAAGAACAAAUAAAAAAAGACAUGAUUAAAAAGAUCAAAGCAUUAGAAAUCCAGAAUUCGUUUAACAUUCCCAAGUCUAGUCCCCAACCCAGAUCCCAAUUUCAUUUCUUCUUCAAUUAUGGUUUGAACCCAAAUGAAAAAACUCAAUGAAAAAGGAAUGUAUACCAUGAGCAGCCAUUCUUCAAAUCAAGAAAGAUUAAAAUUCGAGUAGGAAAUGCAAGAAGCAAGGUCUAGAUUUGAAGUUCUAAAGGCAAAGGGCAAGGAAAUGAGACAAGCAAGAAAGGGUUCUAACAGCCCUCUACGGCAACGCGAGAUCUAGAAAAGCUCCUGGAUCUGCGGUUAAAAACUCUGCCUUUCUGUUGCAUCACCAAAUCUGCCAUGCAGGAGGAUGGGGCUCUUCCGCUGAGUUUUGGGAUUGGUUUGUAUCGGUUGCUGAAACUUUGGCAUGCGUGAGGUUUUAUAGAGAUACAUCAGACCUAGCAUAUGUACAAUUUUACCCUCCAAAACAAUUUUAUUCAAUUAAAUAAUUAAAUACUCAAAUGAUUUUUUUUUCUUUUUAUAAUUACUCUAAUG